Molecule: ribosomal RNA, 109 nt
Organism: Scophthalmus maximus (turbot)
Lineage: Eukaryota; Metazoa; Chordata; Actinopteri; Pleuronectiformes; Scophthalmidae
Source: Ensembl
GCUUACGGCCACACCGCCUGGUUCACGCCUGAUCUCGGAAGCUAAGAUAGGUUGGGCCUGGUUAGUACUUGGAUGGGAGACCGCCUGGGAAUACCAGGUGCUGUAAGCU